This 486-nucleotide ribosomal RNA is filed under the name uncultured bacterium. Its description in RNAcentral is "partial 16S ribosomal RNA". It matches the Rfam family "Bacterial small subunit ribosomal RNA", at positions 29 to 507 of the family's 1533-position model. The record is from RNAcentral.
AUUGAACGCUGGCGGCAUGCUUUACACAUGCAAGUCGAGCGGCAGCGCGGUGGCAACCCUGGAGGCGAGCGGCGAACGGGUGAGUAAUGCAGCGGAACGUAUCCUCGAGGGGUGGAUAACCCAGCUAAAGUUGGGCCAAAACCGCAUGAGCUCUGAGGAGGCUAGGGUGGGCCCUCCGAGUAGCUCGCGCUGAAGUAGCUGCCGGGGUCGCAUUAGUUCGAUGAGGUGGUAAGGGCGUACCAAGGCGACGAACGGUAGAUGGGCUGAGAGGAUGAUCAGCCACACUGGAACUGAGACACGGCACAGACCACUACGGGAGGCAGCAGUGGGGAAUUUUAGACAAUGGGGGGAACGCUGAUCCAGCCAUGCCGAGUGGGGUAAGAAAGCCUUCGGUUUGUGAAGCUCUUCCGGUUGGAACGAAAAGUGAGGGACUAAAACUGCGGUUUGAUGACGGUACCGUAAGAAGAAGCACCGGCUAACUCCGUG